Molecule: ribosomal RNA, 480 nt
Filed under: uncultured bacterium
Lineage: Bacteria
Description: bacterial SSU rRNA
Rfam family: Bacterial small subunit ribosomal RNA
Source: RNAcentral
AUUGAACGCUGGCGGCAUGCCUUACACAUGCAAGUCGAACGGCAGCACGGGAGCUUGCUCCUGGUGGCGAGUGGCGAACGGGUGAGUAAUACAUCGGAACGUACCCUGAAGUGGGGGAUAACGUAGCGAAAGUUACGCUAAUACCGCAUAUUCUGUGAGCAGGAAAGAGGGGGGAUCGCAAGACCUCUUGCUUUAGGAGCGGCCGAUGUCGGAUUAGCUAGUUGGUGAGGUAAAGGCUCACCAAGGCGACGAUCCGUAGCGGGUCUGAGAGGAUGAUCCGCCACACUGGGACUGAGACACGGCCCAGACUCCUACGGGAGGCAGCAGUGGGGAAUUUUGGACAAUGGGCGCAAGCCUGAUCCAGCCAUGCCGCGUGAGUGAAGAAGGCCUUCGGGUUGUAAAGGCUCUUCGGUUGGGGAAGGAAAGUAGGCGACGGGUUAAGUACCCUUACGUGUGGAUGACGGUACCGGAAGUAAGAAG